CAACCUGCCCUUCCAGAGGGGGACAACAGUUGGAAACGACUGCUAAUACCGCAUAAUGUAUCCGGGAGGCAUCUCCUGGAUACCAAAGGAGAAAUCCGCUGAUGGAUGGGCUCACGUCUGAUUAGCUAGUUGGUGAGGUAACGGCUCACCAAGGCUGCGAUCAGUAGCCGGACUGAGAGGUUGAACGGCCACAUUGGGACUGAGAUACGGCCCAG
RNAcentral lists this ribosomal RNA (215 nucleotides) under uncultured bacterium. Its description in RNAcentral is "partial 16S ribosomal RNA". It matches the Rfam family "Bacterial small subunit ribosomal RNA", at positions 122 to 334 of the family's 1533-position model. The record is from RNAcentral.